CUUUUAGUUUGCCCCCCCGAAACUAAGUGAGCUACUUCAAAGCAGCUGUAAGAGCUAACCCCUCUCUGUCGCAAUAGAGUGGGACGACUUUUAAGUAGAGGCGACAAACCUACCGAACUUAGAGAUAGCUGGUUAUUUAAGAAAAGAAUUUAAGUUCAGCCCCAAGCCUCUUUUUAUCAAAAAAAUUUCCUCAGACUUGGGAGUUACUCAAAUAAGGCACAGCUUAUUUGAAACAGGACACAACCUAGAAUACUGGGUAAAACAAUUGAAAUUGUGGCAAGUGGGCCUAAAAGCAGCCACCUUCAAAAAAGCGUCAAAGCUUACCAACAACAACUUCCUAAUAACCUCAACAAUUUUUAUCCCACAUAUCCUAUUAAAUUACCCCAUACAACUAUGGGAGCUAUAAUGCUAGAACGAGUAACAAGAAAAAGACUUUCUCCAAAAUGUAAGCUUAAGCCGCAAUGGACCAACCGCCGGCAAUCAACGCCUCUGAGCUAAUUUUAGUAACACUAACAAGAAAACCCU
RNAcentral lists this ribosomal RNA (525 nucleotides) under Boophis reticulatus. RNAcentral describes it as "partial 16S ribosomal RNA". It matches the Rfam family "Bacterial large subunit ribosomal RNA", at positions 699 to 1428 of the family's 2925-position model. Lineage: Eukaryota; Metazoa; Chordata; Amphibia; Anura; Mantellidae. The record is from RNAcentral.